RNAcentral lists this ribosomal RNA (253 nucleotides) under uncultured bacterium. Its description in RNAcentral is "partial 16S ribosomal RNA". It matches the Rfam family "Bacterial small subunit ribosomal RNA", at positions 524 to 776 of the family's 1533-position model. The record is from RNAcentral.
UACGGAGGGUUCGAGCGUUGUCCGGAAUCACUGGGCGUAAAGGGCGCGUAGGCGGCCCGUUAAGUGGCUGGUGAAAUCCCGCGGCUCAACUGCGGGGCUGCCGGUCAGACUGGCGAGCUAGAGCACGGUAGGGGCAGAUGGAAUUCCCGGUGUAGCGGUGGAAUGCGUAGAGAUCGGGAAGAAUACCAGUGGCGAAGGCGUUCUGCUGGGCCGUUGCUGACGCUGAGGCGCGACAGCGUGGGGAGCAAACAGG